RNAcentral lists this unclassified non-coding RNA (305 nucleotides) under Hevea brasiliensis (rubber tree). The record is from RNAcentral. Lineage: Eukaryota; Viridiplantae; Streptophyta; Magnoliopsida; Malpighiales; Euphorbiaceae.
CCACCGAGGCCAAACCCGAGCAUGGUGCAGGUGAAAGCCAGCGACGCCGCGCCCCGGGUCGCGCCGAAGUCGGCCUGGACGAUGGGGAUGACCACCACCACCGACCACAUGCCGACGCUGCCGAUCGAUCCGAUAAUGAGGGCAAUACCCAGCCGUGCCCACGCCGCACGUGAGUCCGGCGUAAAACCCACUGGAUGAGAGGCAGAAUCGAUGGAAACCGGCACGGACGCAACUUCGUCGGCCUUAUGCCGCCGGUCAAGUCAUUCUCCGAAUGGGGGUUAUGCGAGAAUAACAUCCUCCCGCAC